This is a non-coding RNA of Podarcis lilfordi (Lilford's wall lizard), 75 nucleotides long. The record is from the annotation of a GenBank genome assembly. Lineage: Eukaryota; Metazoa; Chordata; Lepidosauria; Squamata; Lacertidae.
GGAAGGGCUGUAACUCAGUGGUAGAGCAUCUGCUUUGCAUGGAGAAGAUCCUGGGUUCAGUCCCCUGUAUCUCCU